Homo sapiens (human) is the source of this 1135-nucleotide long non-coding RNA. Ensembl annotates it as long intergenic non-protein coding RNA 1905. NCBI's taxonomy places the organism in Eukaryota, Metazoa, Chordata, Mammalia, Primates, Hominidae. The record is from Ensembl.
AGAGAGGAGGAUACAGAGCUGAGAGAUGGAUCGGCCUUCCCCGUGGAGCACUCUGAGACAUGUCAUAGCUCAUUGACAUCUCGCAAUACAGGUCAAAAAGGUACAUCCCAGCCUUCUUGCACAUAGAAACACUACACAGCACUUCAGCUGUAUGUUUGGGGGCCAUUUUAAACAGCAAAAUCAUCAACAGGAAGCAGAAAAUUGUAAAAAUUGUGGCACUAAAUAGACCAUGUAAAGGACACAUGUUUGCAAUAAGAAAGCUGAAACAAGAAGGGGGAGUGUCACCUUAUUUGAUCCAGCUAGAAACUCAGGUGCUGGUAUUCCAGCAACACUCAGGCGGCUGCUCCAGGAGGCUGCAGAGGGGUCCUUUUUAGCCGUCAACAAAACUGGCUAUGGUCACGCCCAUUGGGAAACUCAUUGCUGCCUUCAAGGACUCAGAAGCUGUAGGAAUAUUCAGGCACAGACACCAGACCCAGCUUCAUCUCUAACUUGUGGCAAAGGACAGUACAUCCUGGGAUGGGACCCUAUGCUCCCCUAUGCCAUUUAGACAGAGCCUGGGGAGAGUGACUUCCCAGGGUAUCCAUGUUGGAAUCUCUCAUUUGAUUCUUAUUCAAAUUUAGGUUCUGUCAAUAGAAGAUACUAAAGAAAGAAAGCCAGGAGAAGAAAAGGGACUUCUUUCUUCAAGGUCUAAGCUGUUCUAAUAGCAUUAUUCUGGGAAUGGCAUCUUCCACUCCUCCUAGUACAAAGAACCUGCUUCCUCAUACCCCGUCAAGGAACUGCAGCAUCCAGAAUACAUUCAUACCUAACACCUCAAUAGAUGACAUGUUAUCCAUGGAAUCGAGUUCAAAGCCCUCUGUAACGUGGCUAUAUCCCAUCUACUCUGAGCUGAUGUUCAGCAGGUGAUGGCCACAGUGGCAGAACCUAGGAAGCCAAGAAGAAACCAGAGAAUGGAGACACAUGGCAGCAAUGGCAAGUCAUCAGACCCAGGAUUUCCCAAAGAACACUGGUCCAGGAAGAUGCUCUGUGAAAAAGUGUUCCCUGGUCGGAGAAAUUUGUGAAACACUUUGCAUAAUACUUAAAAGAAUGUAUGGCACAUCAAAGGUAAUAUGCAAUAAAAGAAUUCAUUUUUUUAAAA